UGCCAGACUCCUACGGGAGGCAGCAGUGAGGAAUAUUGGUCAAUGGGCGGGAGCCUGAACCAGCCAAGUCGCGUGAGGGAAGACGGUCCUACGGAUUGUAAACCUCUUUUGCCGGGGAGCAACGGGGUCCUUGCGAGGGCCCGAUGAGAGUACCCGGAGAAAAAGCAUCGGCUAACUCCGUGCCAGCAGCCGCGGUAAUACGGAGGAUGCGAGCGUUAUCCGGAUUUAUUGGGUUUAAAGGGUGCGCAGGCGGAUUUUUAAGUCAGCGGUAAAAUCGUGGGGCUCAACCCCAUCCAGCCGUUGAAACUGGGGAUCUAGAGUGUGCGAGAGGUAUGCGGAAUGCGUGGUGUAGCGGUGAAAUGCAUAGAUAUCACGCAGAACCCCGAUUGCGAAGGCAGCAUACCGGCGCCCAACUGACGCUGAAGCACGAAAGCGUGGGUAUCGAACAGGAUUAGAUACCCGCGUAU
RNAcentral lists this ribosomal RNA (467 nucleotides) under uncultured bacterium. Its description in RNAcentral is "bacterial SSU rRNA". It matches the Rfam family "Bacterial small subunit ribosomal RNA", at positions 329 to 793 of the family's 1533-position model. The record is from RNAcentral.